GACGAACGCUGGCGGCGCGCUUAACACAUGCAAGUCGAGCGAGAACCAGGGCUUCGGCCCUGGGGAAAGCGGCGAACGGGUGAGUAACACGUGAGUAACCUGUCCUCGGCACCGGGAUAGCCCGGGGAAACCCGGAUUAAUACCGGAUGGCCUUUCGAGUCCUCGGACUCGUCAGAAAAGGGAGCUUCGGCCUCCGGCCGAGGAGGGACUCGCGGCGGAUUAGCUUGUUGGUGAGGUAACGGCUCACCAAGGCGACGAUCCGUAGCUGGUCUGAGAGGACGAUCAGCCACACUGGGACUGAGACACGGCCCAGACUCCUACGGGAGGCAGCAGUGGGGAAUCUUGCGCAAUGGGCGAAAGCCUGACGCAGCGACGCCGCGUGCGGGAAGAAGGCCUCGG
Molecule: ribosomal RNA, 399 nt
Filed under: uncultured bacterium
Lineage: Bacteria
Description: bacterial SSU rRNA
Rfam family: Bacterial small subunit ribosomal RNA
Source: RNAcentral